RNAcentral lists this ribosomal RNA (255 nucleotides) under Triodontophorus serratus. Its description in RNAcentral is "partial 28S ribosomal RNA". Lineage: Eukaryota; Metazoa; Nematoda; Chromadorea; Rhabditida; Strongylidae. The record is from RNAcentral.
UCAAGAGAACGUGAAAUCGCUGGAGUGGAACCGGAGAGAGUUGACGUAGUCGGGUAACUAAGUUUGCCAAAAUCGCUUAAUUGUGAUAGCGGCGAAUGUAUGUUGCCUAGGACUGCGCUGACAGCACUGGCUGUGCGUUCCGAACCGCUUGCGUUGCCCACUUCGGUGGUGUCUUGCUUGCGAAUAGGUUUGUCAUGGCUAGUGUUUUAUCCUGCUGUGCAGGGUGUCAGUGUGAAAGUCGACCACCUCUCCGAC